GUCAAUGGCCUAACGGCUGAACUGGCAACUUGGAGAAGUGGCAAGUCUUCCAGUAUGGGGAGCAAAACAGCUAUGGGUCAAGUCCGAUAUCUUUAGGAGAAGUCUUAUUGUGAGGGCGAGUUAUAUAACACCAUAGGACUGGCCGUCCCAUAUGAAAAGAUAUAUUAGAAUUGAAUGAAGCUUUGUUUAUAUAUUGAUAAUGACAGUAUAUAUAUCGUGUCUUGACUAAUUGCGUGCCAGCAGUCGCGGUAAUACGUAAGAGACUAGUGUUAUUCAUCUUAAUUAGGUUUAAAGGGUACCCAGACGGUCAAUAUAGCUUAUAAAAUGUGAGUACUUGACUAGAGUUUUAUGUAAGAGGGCAGUACUUGAGGAGGAGAGAUGAAAUUUCGUGAUACCAAAGGGACUCUGUAAAGGCGAAGGCAGCCCUCUAUGUAAAAACUGACGUUGAAGGACGAAGGCACAGAGAACAAACAGGAUUAGAUACCCAAGUAGUCUUUGCAGUAAAUGAUGAAUGCCAUAGGUUAGAUUAAUCAAACAUAGUCUAGGGUUAGUCUAGCAAACUAAUGACAUACUACAAUAAAAAUAUCUGGUCUAUAAAUGAAAGUGUAAGCAUUUCACCUCAAGAGUAAUGUGGCAACGCAGGAACUGAAAUCACUAGACCGUUUCUGACACCAGU
RNAcentral lists this ribosomal RNA (676 nucleotides) under Fusarium oxysporum. Its description in RNAcentral is "SSU rRNA". It matches the Rfam family "Bacterial small subunit ribosomal RNA", at positions 367 to 930 of the family's 1533-position model. Lineage: Eukaryota; Fungi; Ascomycota; Sordariomycetes; Hypocreales; Nectriaceae. The record is from RNAcentral.